GAUGAAGAACGCAGCGAAAUGCGAUAAGUAGUGUGAAUUGCAGAAUUCAGUGAAUCAUCGAAUCUUUGAACGCACAUUGCGCCCUUUGGUAUUCCAUGGGGCAUGCCUGUUCGAGCGUCAUUUGUACCCUCAAGCUAUGCUUGGUGUUGGGUGUUUGUCCUCUCCUUUGCGAUUGGACUCGCCUUAAAGACAUUGGCAGCCAGUGUAUUGGUCUUGAAGCGCAGCACAUUUUGCGAUUCUUGCUGAUAAUCACUAGCGUCCAGUAAGCCUAUUUUAACACUUUUGACCUCGGAUCAGGUAGGGAUACCCGCUGAACUUAAGCAUAUCAAUAAGCGGAGGA
This 340-nucleotide unclassified non-coding RNA is filed under the name soil metagenome. Its description in RNAcentral is "partial contains 5.8S ribosomal RNA, internal transcribed spacer 2, and large subunit ribosomal RNA". The stretch from base 1 to 120 matches the Rfam family "5.8S ribosomal RNA", at positions 35 to 154 of the family's 154-position model. The record is from RNAcentral.